This 301-nucleotide ribosomal RNA is filed under the name uncultured bacterium. Its description in RNAcentral is "partial 16S ribosomal RNA". It matches the Rfam family "Bacterial small subunit ribosomal RNA", at positions 509 to 807 of the family's 1533-position model. The record is from RNAcentral.
CAGUCGCCGCGGGAAUACGUAGGUGGCAAGCGUUGUCCGGAAUUAUUGGGCGUAAAGGGCUCGCAGGCGGUUUCUAAAGUCUGAUGUGAAGGCCCCCGGCUCAACCGGGGAGGGUCAUUGGAAACUGGGAAACUUGAGUGCAGAAGAGGAGAGUGGAAUUCCACGUGUAGCGGUGAAAUGCGUAGAGAUGUGGAGGAACACCAGUGGCGAAGGCGACUCUCUGGUCUGUAACUGACGCUGAGGAGCGAAAGCGUGGGGAGCGAACAGGAUUAGAUACCCGUGUAGUCCCUGUCUCUUAUAC